RNAcentral lists this ribosomal RNA (821 nucleotides) under Coprinopsis macrocephala. RNAcentral describes it as "eukaryotic LSU rRNA". It matches the Rfam family "Eukaryotic large subunit ribosomal RNA", at positions 73 to 881 of the family's 3401-position model. The record is from RNAcentral. Lineage: Eukaryota; Fungi; Basidiomycota; Agaricomycetes; Agaricales; Psathyrellaceae.
GAUUCCCCUAGUAACUGCGAGUGAAGCGGGAAAAGCUCAAAUUUAAAAUCUGGCGGUCUUUGGCCGUCCGAGUUGUAAUCUAGAGAAGUGUUACCCGCGCCGGACCGUGUAUAAGUCUCCUGGAACGGAGCGUCAUAGAGGGUGAGAAUCCCGUCUUUGACACGGACUCCCGGGGCAUUGUGGUGCGCUCUCAAAGAGUCGAGUUGUUUGGGAAUGCAGCUCAAAAUGGGUGGUAAAUUCCAUCUAAAGCUAAAUAUUGGCGAGAGACCGAUAGCGAACAAGUACCGUGAGGGAAAGAUGAAAAGAACUUUGGAAAGAGAGUUAAACAGUACGUGAAAUUGCUGAAAGGGAAACGCUUGAAGNCAGUCGCGUNGGCCGGAAAUCAACCUUGCUUCUGCUUGGUGUACUUUCUGGUCGACGGGCCAGCAUCAGUUUUGACCGGUGGAAAAGGUUCAAGGGAAUGUGGCAUCUUCGGAUGUGUUAUAGCCCUUGGUCGUAUACACCGAUUGGGACUGAGGAAUUCAGCACGCCGAAAGGCCGGGGUUCGCCCACGUUCGUGCUUAGGAUGCUGGCAUAAUGGCUUUAAUCGACCCGUCUUGAAACACGGACCAAGGAGUCUAACAUGCCUGCGAGUGUUUGGGUGGAAAACCCGGACGCGCAAUGAAAGUNAAAGUCGGGAUCCCUGUCGCGGGGAGCACCGACGCCCGGACCAGAAGUUUACGGACGGAUCCGCGGUGAAGCAUGUAUGUUGGGACCCGAAAGAUGGUGAACUAUGCCUGAAUAGGGUGAAGCCAGAGGAAACUCUGGUGGAGGCUCGUAGC